AUGGAACUGAGCCUGGCAGACACUGCAAAUGAGGCCCCUGCCAGCCAGGGGAAGCAUUGAUAGGCACACUGAGGGUAUGCUGAAGAAGGCAGUGAGGUCCAGCUCCAGGAAGCUGCAGCAACAUUAGGCCACUGCAGCGGACCUCAUUUUCAGAAGGAUUUUAAGCCAAAGCCCAAGGUUUAUUAUAAAGGACUUACAAAGGACAAAGACGAAGAGACACAUAGGGCAAGGUACCAGGGAAGGGGCACAGAGCUUCCAUGCCCUCCCUGGGCGCAUCACUCUACAGGAACCUCCCUGUGUUCAGCUAUCCAGAAGCUCUCCAAACUCCAUCCUCUUGGGCUUUAAUGGAAGCUUCGCAAGGUCAGCAUUCCUUCCCCCAGGGUAUGCGGUGGGGCCCUCUCUGGAGAACCCCAGUUAAUUUUUAAAUAUUAAAAUAAAAAUGCUGGCCAGGCACAGUGACUCACACCUGUAAUCCCAGCACUUUAGGAGGCUGAGGCAGGGGGAUCACUUGAAGUCAGGAAUUCAAGACCAGUCUGACCAGCACGGUGAAACCCCAUCUCUACUAAAAAUACAAAAUUUAGCCAGCUGUGGUGGUGCGUGCCUGUAAUCCCAGCUGCUUGGGAGGCUGAGGCAGGAGAGUCAUCUGAAUCCUGGAGACAGAUGUUGCAGUGAGCUGAGAUUGCACCACUGCACUUCAUCCAGCCUGGGGUGACAGAACGAGACUCCGUUUCAAAAAAAUAAAAGAAUGAAAAUGCUAUGUGGAACAAAAAUUGUAUUCAUUUUUGAAACAAGUUUGUUUAAAUGAAAUGAAAUCCCAAGCAAACAACAAAGCUGUUUCUGAGGAGUGAAAGACCUUUUUUGCUUAAUUCUUCCCAUAGGAGAAAAUUCUUUGAAAUAUUUUCUUGCAAUUCGAUAAAAAUGGAAAGACCCAGCAUGUAGGUAGGGCUGCUUGAUUAUUGCAAUGGAGGGAGGGAAGAUGGGGAAGCACAUGCAGCCCUUCUGUGCACCAGGCUCCAGGUGUGAGGACUCUCAUAGCACCAUUUGUGCAACGACGGAUUCGGCCUACUGACAAGGUUUUGAGGAUUUCCCUACUCUGCUAUGUGGAAAUGGAGACACUCAACAUCUCCUUAUAAAAUAUCUUGUGCCAGCCCUCAAGAUACAUGAAGCUGUGGGCCCUCAGAAACAUCUGGCUCAGCAGAAAUGACUGCAGGGUCUGCCUCUGAAGCCCAGCGUUUCUACUCCAUUUGGGAUAUUCCACACAGGAAGAGAAUUGGAAAUGCUGGAGAAGCUCUGGAAGCCCACAGAGAACAGAUGCAUAAACACCAUUUACCAGACACAGCUCAGCAAACCCUCUCUCUCUUCCUUCCAGCAGCUUGGUUGUCCUCAAGGAGUUCCUAAAUUUCAUACUUCUGAGGGUUAUAUGGGAUGGUGAGGGGUGGAGGAGAGUAGCACGGAUUGAAAAAUACAUUAAUGUUGGCUGGGCACAGUGGCUCACACCUGUAAUCCCAGCGCUUUGGGAGGCCGAGGCUGGUAGAUCACCUGAGGUCAGGAGUUUGAGACCAGCCUGGCCAACAUGGCGAAACCCCAUCUCUACUAAAAAUACAAAAUUUAGCUGGGUGUGAUGGCACAUGCUUGUAAUCCCAGCUACUCAGGAGGCUGAGGCAGGAGAAUCGCUUGAACCCAGGAAGCGGAGGUUGCAGUGAGCUGAGAUUGCAGCAUUGCACUCCAGCCUGGGCAACAAGAGAGAUGCUCCAUCUUAAAAAAAAAAAGAAAAAUACAUUAAAGUGUACCAAAAUAAAUAUAUGACAGCUUUUAAAUUAUUUUCCAUGGGAAAAAAACUUAUAAUUAGUGACAAUUACUUACUGAGGGCCUGCUGGGCUAGACAUUAUGGACAUUGUGAAAGAUAAAAAGUUCAAGACACAGACUCUGUUUUCAGGAUGUGUACGCUUUAAAUAUGAAGUUAACACAGGGCAGAAAAGUAGAUACACACAUGCACACACAUACCUAUACACACAUACCUACACACACACACACACACACACACACACACAAAUACUCCUCAGACCCAAAGGACGGAGACAUCACAAUGAACAAGAUGAACAAUUGGUAGGAUUUUAAAAGACUAUUUUCUUUUUCAGCAAGGAGGAUGGAGUGGGCAGGUAGGGGAUGGUAUUUAUUUCCCAAGCAAAUCAAUUAGAAAAAAUAUUUGUAUUUCAGUAAAUUUAUUUUUUUCAAUCUUCAGAUAUAAGAAGGCUUUUCCAUGAAAAACACUCUAUUUA
Molecule: long non-coding RNA, 2279 nt
Filed under: Homo sapiens (human)
Lineage: Eukaryota; Metazoa; Chordata; Mammalia; Primates; Hominidae
Description: HSALNT0137773
Source: RNAcentral